Molecule: ribosomal RNA, 253 nt
Filed under: uncultured bacterium
Lineage: Bacteria
Description: partial 16S ribosomal RNA
Rfam family: Bacterial small subunit ribosomal RNA
Source: RNAcentral
UACGUAGGUGGCAAGCGUUGUCCGGAUUUACUGGGCGUAAAGAGCGCGCAGGCGGUCGGAUAAGUCGAAUGUGAAAGCCCCCGGCUCAACUGGGGAGGGUCAUUCGAUACUGUUCGACUCGAAGGCAGGAGAGGGAAGUGGAAUUCCCGGUGUAGUGGUGAAAUGCGUAGAUAUCGGGAGGAACACCAGUGGCGAAGGCGGCUUCCUGGACCGACACUGACGCUGAGGCGCGAAAGCUAGGGGAGCAAACGGG